This 811-nucleotide long non-coding RNA is filed under the name Phoenix dactylifera (date palm). RNAcentral describes it as "long non-coding RNA (PDAC_LNC017403)". The record is from RNAcentral. Lineage: Eukaryota; Viridiplantae; Streptophyta; Magnoliopsida; Arecales; Arecaceae.
UGGAUUUGAUGGCAUGAAAGGUGUGGAUUAUGAUUUACGAGUUAUGUUACAUUCUAAACCAACCAUCCGGCAGAAGAUGUACAGAAAAAAUUCCAAUAAGUAGGGGUAAAAAUAGACCAGAUAAUAUCUGUUCAGAUCUAUUUUCAUUUCCGAAUCUAUCCAGAUAUGGAUAAAAAUUUGAGCAUCUAACUAACAUCUGUAUUCAAUAUCCAUAUUCGUCAAAGAAAAGCAAAUAUAAAUAUGCAUAGACAACUACCUGAUUCGCAUCCAAAUAUUCGUUUCUAUUUGUAACUCUAUUUAAUUUCAUAGCACUCAUGGACUUUUAAAAAAUAUAUAUAACCACAUUAACAUACUAUUAACUUGAUUUACCAUUUAUUUAGUAGUAUCUCUAAUUCUGUGGUCAUAAAAUUUAAUUAUCUGACUUAUAUCCGUAUUUAUAUCCAUACUUUCAAUAUCUAAUUUAUAUCCGUAUCCGUUUAAAACAAAUAUAGAUAUGAAUUUUUGCAUCCGACUAAUAUCCAUAUCUGUAUCUGUAUUCGUCAAACAAAACAAAUAUGGAUAUGGAUAUACUAGCAUCCGAUUUGAUUUCAGCCCUGCCAACAAAAGGUUAGCUUCGUUUGAAGAAAUAACUAGUCAAUUGACUGCACUAAAUUUUUAACAAACCUCCGCUCAUCCACUGUCAACAAGAAUGCAAAUCUAAAGUAAAUGUAGUGUCUUCUAUGCUGGUGGCAUCAUAUUUAGAAUCCAUGUCGUCAUUAUUUUUUUUUCAAAUUAUCUUCUAUUGUAACUACUUCGGAUUUCUAAUAUCAAC